GUGCUUGUUUUGGCUGCACAUAUAUUAAAAUUGGAACAAUACAGAGAAAAUUAGCAUGGCCACUGGGUAAGAUGAUAUGCAGAUUUGCGAGGCGUUCCAUAUUAAA
Small nuclear RNA from Suricata suricatta (meerkat), 106 nucleotides. Lineage: Eukaryota; Metazoa; Chordata; Mammalia; Carnivora; Herpestidae. The record is from Ensembl.